This 269-nucleotide ribosomal RNA is filed under the name uncultured bacterium. Its description in RNAcentral is "partial small subunit ribosomal RNA". It matches the Rfam family "Bacterial small subunit ribosomal RNA", at positions 26 to 285 of the family's 1533-position model. The record is from RNAcentral.
AGAGCGAACGCUGGCGGCGUGCUUAACACAUGCAAGUCGAACGCGCAGCGUUCUGUAGCAAUACAGGGUGUGGGCGCGUGGCGAACGGGUGCGUAACACGUGGAUAACCUUCCUUGAGGUGGGGAAUAACCCAGUGAAAAUUGGGCUAAUACCGCAUAAUAUGACGAUGGCACAUGCUGUUGUCUUCAAAGGCGCAAGUCGCCACAAGAGGGAUCCGCGGCCGAUUAGCUUGUUGGCGAGGUAAUGGCUCACCAAGGCAUUGAUCGGUA